GACGAACGCUGGCGGCGUGCCUAAUACAUGCAAGUCGAACGAACCGCGACUGAGUGCUUGCACUUGGUCAAGGUGAGUGGCGAACGGGUGAGUAACACGUGGGUAACCUACCUCAUAGUGGGGGAUAACAGUCGGAAACGACUGCUAAUACCGCAUAGGACAUAGAAUCACAUGAUUCUGAGGAAAGGUGGCGCAAGCUAUCGCUAAGAGAUGGACCCGCGGUGCAUUAGCUAGUUGGUAGGGUAACGGCCUACCAAGGCGAUGAUGCAUAGCCGACCUGAGAGGGUGAUCGGCCACAUUGGGACUGAGACACGGCCCAAACUCCUACGGGAGGCAGCAGUAGGGAAUCUUCCGCAAUGGACGCAAGUCUGACGGAGCAACGCCGCGUGAGUGAAGAAGGUCUUCGGAUCGUAAAGCUCUGUUGUUAGAGAAGAACAGCGCAUAGAGUAACUGCUAUGCGUGUGACGGUAUCUAACCAGAAAGCCACGG
Molecule: ribosomal RNA, 489 nt
Filed under: Abiotrophia defectiva
Lineage: Bacteria; Bacillati; Bacillota; Bacilli; Lactobacillales; Aerococcaceae
Description: bacterial SSU rRNA
Rfam family: Bacterial small subunit ribosomal RNA
Source: RNAcentral